CCGUAGCCCAAGAGAUCGGGAUAACACCUGGAAACAGAUGCUAAUACCGGAUAACAACAGAUGAUGCCUAUCAACUGUUUAAAAGAUGGUUCUGCUAUCACUCUUGGAUGGACCUGCGGUGCAUUAGCUAGUUGGUAGGGUAACGGCCUACCAAGGCGAUGAUGCAUAGCCGAGUUGAGAGGCUGAUCGGCCACAUUGGGACUGAGACACGGCCCAAACUCCUACGGGAGGCAGCAGGC
RNAcentral lists this ribosomal RNA (239 nucleotides) under uncultured Lactobacillus sp. RNAcentral's name for it is "partial 16S ribosomal RNA". It matches the Rfam family "Bacterial small subunit ribosomal RNA", at positions 125 to 354 of the family's 1533-position model. Lineage: Bacteria; Bacillati; Bacillota; Bacilli; Lactobacillales; Lactobacillaceae. The record is from RNAcentral.